AUCAGCUUUAAUGAUUGCACUUACAGUGUAAAAGAGAUAAAAAGGCCCAUCAAUACAAUUCUGUGUGUUCGAUCAACGUGGAAUGGAACAGGCUUCAAAGAGGUAGUAGGCAGAAAAAUCAGGUAGAUAAAAUAACAAAAACAAUUAAAAACAAACUCUACACAUUCCGUCUGAUAUAUCAGACUUCCUCAGGAGUAGUAAUAGCAUUCAUGUAAAGUGCUUCAAAUCUUGUGGGGCUCACAGCUGUUUUUAAAGGUCCUUCCCAACGGUUUUCGGAUCCGUUCGUCCAAUCAAUAGCUUUCAAUUAAUUCUCCUUCAGUCACUUGUUCUCUUUCUUCCUUAUGCGUUCCACCGAUCCAGAAGUGUUCUCUCUUAUUCGUAUUCAGGUGGACAAUGUGGAAGUAGUUUGUAGCUGGAAUGCAUAUGCGUUCCACCGAUCCGGAAAUGUUCUCUCUUAUUCGUAUUCAGGCGGACAAUGUGGAAGUAGUUUGUAGCUGGAAUGCAUAUGUGUUCCACCUCGUCUUAAUACAGCUAAUGGAAAUGAGUCCUCACAUGGAU
Pelobates cultripes (western spadefoot toad) is the source of this 558-nucleotide non-coding RNA. NCBI's taxonomy places the organism in Eukaryota, Metazoa, Chordata, Amphibia, Anura, Pelobatidae. The record is from the annotation of a GenBank genome assembly.